UAUACUUUUUUUUCCUUUCUUCUUUUUUUUACAUUAUAUAUGCAUUUCCGUUCAUUUUGUUUUAACUGGAAAUUAUAUGGACAUUAUUGAUCGGUUUAGCCGCCAUUGGUCGUGCUUGUGGACAUAUUCACUCUAGGUUGCUUGGCUCUUCAUCUACGUUAUCUCAGAUGUCAUGUCUUCACACAAGUACACAGUUAAACGGCAAACACUGGGAAAGGAAAAAUCUGAUUGUGUAUCCACCACAACAGAAAGAUGAACCAUGCAGACCUGCUAAUUUAGCAGUAAGAAAUUACUCAUCAUCCAGUUUUUUAUAUCGACUACAGCAAAGACAAGAUGUGGUACUUGGCUAAACUGCUGAAUCAUUCUCUGCCAAGGGAAAAUAUCUAAAGCGUAUUCGUUAUCAUGGAUGUGGCAUGUUUGGCAUCAUGGACAAAGUGCACUGCCACUACUUUGUAAAGCUCGUUGAAGGGGUCCCGCCGAAAGUCGAGCAGAAGACAGUAUUCGACCAGGCCAAGGAGUAUGUGGAGCAACUAAGGAACCGAACAAUUAUUAAUUCGCUAUAGUUUAAAAAGACUCUUGAUGUUUUGUUAAUGUGCUCAUGUAAAUAAUAACUGAAGAAUAAAGAAAUCACA
Molecule: long non-coding RNA, 632 nt
Organism: Sinocyclocheilus grahami
Lineage: Eukaryota; Metazoa; Chordata; Actinopteri; Cypriniformes; Cyprinidae
Exons: 4
Source: RefSeq, a predicted model, not a curated record